UUUAGACUGAUCCAGUGGAGGAUCAUUGAAAAGCUGUGAAAAAUAUUCUGAAGUAUCUAAGAAGGACUAAAGAUAUUUUUCUCAUAUAUGGAGGAGGAUCAGAGUUGAAACUACAGGAAUAUACAGAUUUUAGUUUUUAAUCUGAUCUGGAUGAUAGCAAGUCAAUAUCUGGGUACAUGUUUACUCUUAAUAGUGGGACAGUG
This 203-nucleotide long non-coding RNA is filed under the name Elaeis guineensis (African oil palm). Its description in RNAcentral is "long non-coding RNA (EGUI_LNC041768)". The record is from RNAcentral. Lineage: Eukaryota; Viridiplantae; Streptophyta; Magnoliopsida; Arecales; Arecaceae.